CAUUCACCCAAAUUUUGAUAAUUGAGUCCACUCGAAGAAAAACAUCUGAAGACACACGUUAUACGCGUGUGUAAGUGUGACAGCUAUAUAUGGCAAUAUCGAUAUAUGUACAUAUAUCGAUGAGCAUAUAUGUACACAUUUUGGGCGAUUUAAAAUUAUUUCAAAUUGUUUUGCAAAAAGGUAGCCAUUCGCGAAUGUAUUUAGCGCUACUUUACGCUAAUUCACUAUUUAUGCGCUGUUUGGACUGGACUGCAUUGUGGAAAUUUUCAAUAUGUGAACCUUACGACUUGUUAUUCCUUAAGGGGCUGUAUGUAUGAGAGGGAUGGCUAUUGGAGCCGCAUCAUUGAUCAUGCCACAUUAAAUUUGAAAAUGUGGCCGUAUUUUGCCUAAUAUCAAAAAACGUUAUCGUUGCAAAUGAACUGAUUAUUCCACUGGCAAAUUUUGGCGCCAUAAAACUACAUAUUUAAAAAUGCUUUGCUAUUUAUAAAAAAAUUAAAAAAAUAUUAGCGAUUGCAGAGCGAUUUAUAAUGUAAAA
Drosophila nasuta is the source of this 535-nucleotide long non-coding RNA. RefSeq lists it as uncharacterized. The transcript is spliced from 2 exons. The record is from RefSeq and is a predicted model, not a curated record. NCBI's taxonomy places the organism in Eukaryota, Metazoa, Arthropoda, Insecta, Diptera, Drosophilidae.